UACAGCCACCUCUCUCGAUAUCUCGCAACUCUCUUCUACCCUCUCUUCCCCGUCCAAUAAGAACCAUCGGCGUCAGCGUGGUGCUCUUACUCUUCUUCUCGAUGUGCAUCGAUGAUGGUCUUACGGGUGUCUUCACCUCCGGAGUUGAAGAACAUUAUCGGAGAUUCGUCGUAUUUCCAUCGGAGGUGAAGGCCACCCGCUAGAUCUUCAUCGAUUCCCUUUACAAAGACUUUACUCCAAAAGUUUGGUGAAAGCAAUCUUUGAAUUCACUGCGUAGAGAUGGACGAAAGCUCUUACUGAAGUUUCUGUUUUGCCUAGGUAGGAUCUACAUGCUGUUGCCGAUGGCAAUAUUGACUGUUAAGAGCUGGAGCUCGUUGAUUUUGGAAUGGAUGACGGCAUGGAGCCCGCAAUUGAGCUGGUUACUAGUUCCUUCUAUUCGAGAAAAUCAAUCCGACGAGCUCCAGAUUCAUCCGUGAAUGGAUUUUAGUUUCUAUUUGGUGAAAUUGAUUGUGUGAACGGAUUUUAGUUUCUUUUUCUUUCUAUUUUUCGUAAUGUUGAAGAAAAUUCAAGCUAAAAUGGGAGAAUUUGACCUGGAACCCUAAUUAAAUCAUAGAUUCAUCCGUCUAAAGGUAUCAAUGUCCACCAUUGGAUGGGUUCCCUACGAUAUCAUUUUGUAAAUUUUAAUGUACUGAUUUAUUGCAAGUUUGACACCGACAAAUUUGAUGUAUUCAUUUGUAUAAUGAAAAGUAAUUGUUAUUC
Molecule: non-coding RNA, 759 nt
Organism: Nelumbo nucifera (sacred lotus)
Lineage: Eukaryota; Viridiplantae; Streptophyta; Magnoliopsida; Proteales; Nelumbonaceae
Source: RefSeq, a predicted model, not a curated record